RNAcentral lists this non-coding RNA (176 nucleotides) under Candidatus Adamsella sp. RNAcentral's name for it is "6S RNA". It matches the Rfam family "6S / SsrS RNA". Rfam says of the family: E. coli 6S RNA was the first non coding RNA to be sequenced, but its function was unknown until recently. It consists of 184 nucleotides that fold into an extended hairpin structure with a large single-stranded internal bulge. The 6S RNA specifically associates with RNA polymerase holoenzyme containing the sigma70 specificity factor. The record is from RNAcentral. Lineage: Bacteria; Bacillati.
UAUUGCCUCUGCGGGUUCAUUCGUUUUGAUCCUACAUUUUUUUAUACAGGGAGUCUGACUUCAGAAUAACAAAGUAUACCUAGUGUUUUGGCAUUUUAGGAAACGGCGAUUUAUUCGAGAGGACACCCACCUGCUGACUUAGCAGGUAUCAAAACCUUAGCCUGUAGGGGCACAAC